RNAcentral lists this long non-coding RNA (591 nucleotides) under Marmota monax (woodchuck). Lineage: Eukaryota; Metazoa; Chordata; Mammalia; Rodentia; Sciuridae. The record is from RNAcentral.
UUUUGGUCUCCCUGUGGCCUGGUGGAUCUAGGAAGCCUGGAGGGGCCACUCCUUAGGAUACAUUCUGGAUGAUGCCACAAAUGGUAGUCCCCUGCUGUCAGUGUUCUUGGAGCCACGAGCCUUCAGGCGGGUGGUCAGCCAGCCCUGGGCUGAGAGAUCACUGUGCUGCUGGGAAGGACUCUGUCUUCAUGGGAUCCUACCUGGGCUGUUCCACCUGUGGAUAGAUUUAGACUUCUCUGUCUUUAAAAAGCACAGACACAUCAAAUUCUUUUGGCUUCCUGCUCAUGGUUCAGACAUUGGAAAUCAACCUGAAUCGUUUUUUUCUGUUUCUACCAUCAAGAGUCUCCCUGGGCCUCAGGAUACAUAUCCAGGACAUUCGUCCUGAGCUGAAACCCCCAAUGAGUACAUGGACUUUUGUUGCCGAUUUUUUGGUUUGGCCCUGGGUCUGACUCCCCAGUGAAGGGCUAGAUGAUGAGUUAUUAGUUAAUCCAGAAUGACCUUCAGUUAUAUUUUAUGGUCAUAUUAUCCUGCUUAGAGAUUUUAGCACACAAUGGAUCAAACAUGACAUGCUCCGUCAACAGUGAACUACAC